RNAcentral lists this ribosomal RNA (160 nucleotides) under uncultured bacterium. RNAcentral describes it as "partial 16S ribosomal RNA". It matches the Rfam family "Bacterial small subunit ribosomal RNA", at positions 359 to 520 of the family's 1533-position model. The record is from RNAcentral.
GAAUAUUGCACAAUGGGCGCGAGCCUGAUGCAGCGACGCCGCGUGCGGGAUGGAGSCUUCGGGUUGUAAACCGCUUUUGUUCAAGGGCAGGGCACGGUUUGGGCCGGGUGGAGGGAAUGGUUCGAAAAACCACCGGCAACCAACGUGCCACCACCCGCGG